CAGCCGCCGCGGUAAUACGAAGGGUGCAAGCGUUAAUCGGAAUUACUGGGCGUAAAGCGUGCGUAGGUGGUGGUUUAAGUCCGUUGUGAAAGCCCUGGGCUCAACCUGGGAAUUGCAGUGGAUACUGGGUCACUAGAGUGUGGUAGAGGAUAGUGGAAUUUCCGGUGUAGCAGUGAAAUGCGUAGAGAUCGGAAGGAACAUCUGUGGCGAAGGCGACUAUCUGGGCCAACACUGACACUGAGGCACGAAAGCGUGGUGAGCAAACAGGAUUAGAUACCCCCGUAGUCCCUGUCUCUUAUAC
This 301-nucleotide ribosomal RNA is filed under the name uncultured bacterium. RNAcentral's name for it is "partial 16S ribosomal RNA". It matches the Rfam family "Bacterial small subunit ribosomal RNA", at positions 509 to 807 of the family's 1533-position model. The record is from RNAcentral.